RNAcentral lists this ribosomal RNA (1285 nucleotides) under Trachylophus sinensis. RNAcentral's name for it is "16S ribosomal RNA". The stretch from base 850 to 1223 matches the Rfam family "Bacterial large subunit ribosomal RNA", at positions 2070 to 2650 of the family's 2925-position model. Lineage: Eukaryota; Metazoa; Arthropoda; Insecta; Coleoptera; Cerambycidae. The record is from RNAcentral.
AUUUUAAGAAUUAUUUUUAUUUUAAUUUCUUUUUUUUUUAUAAUGAGAAUAUUAGUUUUUAUUAUUAGCUAAGAAAAAAUUGUGUAUAAUUAUAGAUUAUUAGUACUGUGAAGGAAUUUAUUAAUAUAGUUUAAAGAAGGGUUAUUUUUCCGUACCUUGUGUAUCAGGGUUUAUUAAAUAAGGGCUUAUUAUUGAGUGUUCUCGAAUUUAGAAGAGCUAUCUUUUUAUAUAUUUUGUUGUUGCAUAAACAUUUAUAAUAUUGGGAUAGGAAUGAAACGUUAUUCGUUUCUAAAUAUAUCUAGUUUUUUAAGAAAUAAAUUCAAUUUGUUUAGUAAUUAUUAAUAAGUUAAAUUUUUAACUUAUUAUUUUUAUUAAGUAAUAUUUUAAGGGAUGAGCUUUAAAAUAGAUUUUUAUAAAUUUUAUUAUUAUUGUUUUUGAUUAGUAUGAUUAGAAGUUUUUUUCUAUAAAAGGAUGUUAUAUUCGUUCAAAAUUUUUAUAUUAUUUUUAUUGGUUUUAAAUGUUUUAUUAAAAUGUGUUUUUAAAUUGUGUAUUUUCAGUAAAUAUGAUUAAAUUAGUAAAAUAUUCUGUUAGAUUUAGUUGAUUUCAAGGUUAUUCUAAGGAAUUCGGCAAAUAAUUUUUCACCUGUUUAUUAAAAACAUGGCCUGUUGAUUAUUUUUUCAGGUCUCGCCUGCCCACUGAGUAGUUAAAGGGCCGCGGUAUCUUGACCGUGCAAAGGUAGCAUAAUAAUUAGUUUCUUAAUUGGAAGCUUGUAUGAACGGUAGGAUGAGAAAAUUACUGUCUCUGAUUAAUUUUUAUUGAAUUUUAUUUUUAAGUAAAAAAGCUUAAAUUUUAUUAAAAGACGAGAAGACCCUGUAGAAUUUUACAUUUGAUUUUAUUAUCUUUUAUUUAGUAUCUUCAGAAAGAUGACAGGGUUCCGUGUUUGGUUGGGGUGAUCGAAAAAUUAGAAUAACUUUUUUUUUAUUAUAACAUUGAUUUAUGAGAAAUUGAUCCAUUGUUUGUGAUUAUAAGAUAAAAUUACCUCAGGGAUAACAGCGUAAUCUUCUUAGAGAGUCCUUAUCGAUAAGAGGGUUUGCGACCUCGAUGUUGGAUUAAAAUUAAGUCCUGGUGCAGAAGCUAGGAAUGUUUGGUCUGUUCGACCAUUAAAAUUUUACAUGAUCUGAGUUUAAACCGGCGUGAGCCAGGUUGGUUUCUAUCUUUAAUAAGGGAAAUAUUUUAGUACGAAAGGACCAAGUAUUUGAUAAUUUAUUUUUAUUUGAAUAUUAAU